AUUGCUUAUUGGUCUUCAGUCCACAUCAAGUGUACCAUCUGUUCUAAUCAGUUUAAUAGCUGAAACGUUUCUAUCAGGGCAAAAAUUAAAUCAAAUUUUGGAGCAGGCAGAUGAAAUGGGGAGCUUGCUUCAUCCAGUCCAUGCAUUGACCUUGUAUUGCAGUAUCUCCAGGCAUGUUGCACCCCCU
Molecule: small nuclear RNA, 187 nt
Organism: Tupaia belangeri (northern tree shrew)
Lineage: Eukaryota; Metazoa; Chordata; Mammalia; Scandentia; Tupaiidae
Gene: U2
Rfam family: U2 spliceosomal RNA
About the family: U2 is a small nuclear RNA (snRNA) component of the spliceosome (involved in pre-mRNA splicing). Complementary binding between U2 snRNA (in an area lying towards the 5' end but 3' to hairpin I) and the branchpoint sequence (BPS) of the intron results the bulging out of an unpaired adenosine, on the BPS, which initiates a nucleophilic attack at the intronic 5' splice site, thus starting the first of two transesterification reactions that mediate splicing.
Source: Ensembl